This 1595-nucleotide ribosomal RNA is filed under the name human gut metagenome. RNAcentral describes it as "bacterial LSU rRNA". It matches the Rfam family "Bacterial large subunit ribosomal RNA", at positions 1310 to 2925 of the family's 2925-position model. The record is from RNAcentral.
CGAGAGAUAAGUGAGAAUCCUAUUAGGCCGAAUAUCCAAUGGAUCCAGGUUUAAAGCUGAUCUGCCCUGGGUAAGUCGGGGCCUAAGGCGAGGUCGGAAGACGUAGCCGAUGGACAACAGGUGGAGAUUCCUGUACUGCAUAUGGUCAGAACUGUGGGGACACGGGGUGUUAACGGAAGCCGGGAAAGGAAAGACCGGUCCAAGCGCAGGAGGCGUUGCACAGGCUAAUCCGUGCAAUAAGCCAAAGGCGUGACGGGGAGCGAAAUACAAGUAGCGAAGUCCGGAUACAUGCUGUCAAGAAAAGCCGCUAUUGCGCCAUAUGUACCCGUACCGUAAACCGACACAGGUGGAUGAGGAGAGAAUCCUAAGGCCGGCGGGAGAAGUGUUGUUAAGGAACUCGGCAAAAUGGCCCCGUAACUUCGGGAGAAGGGGCGCCCAGAAAUGGGCCGCAGAGAAAAGGCUCAAGCAACUGUUUAGCAAAAACACAGGUCUAUGCGAAACCGAAAGGUGAGGUAUAUGGGCUGACGCCUGCCCGGUGCUGGAAGGUUAAGGGGAGAGGUUAGCCGCAAGGCGAAGCUUUGAACUUAAGCCCCAGUAAACGGCGGCCGUAACUAUAACGGUCCUAAGGUAGCGAAAUUCCUUGUCGGGUAAGUUCCGACCCGCACGAAAGGCGUAAUGAUUUGAGCACUGUCUCGACAACACACCCGGUGAAAUUGAAAUACCAGUGAAGAUGCUGGUUACCUGCGCCAGGACGGAAAGACCCCAUGGAGCUUUACUCUAGUUUGAUACUGGGACCCGGUAUGACAUGUACAGGAUAGGUGGGAGGCUGAGAAUUAAUGACGCCAGUCAUUAAGGAGCCGCUGUUGGGAUACCACCCUUGUGAUGCCAGGUUUCUAACGAGCUGCCGUGAACCGGCAGGCGGACAAUGUCAGGCGGGGAGUUUGACUGGGACGGUCGCCUCCGAAAGGGUAUCGGAGGCGCUCAAAGGUUCCCUCAGAAUGGUUGGAAACCAUUCGGAGAGUGCAAAGGCAGAAGGGAGCCUGACUGCGACACCGACGGGUGGAGCAGGUACGAAAGUAGGACUUAGUGAUCCGGUGGUAUAAAGUGGGAUUGCCAUCGCUCAACGGAUAAAAGCUACCCUGGGGAUAACAGGCUUAUCACUCCCAAGAGUUCACAUCGACGGAGUGGUUUGGCACCUCGAUGUCGGCUCAUCGCAUCCUGGGGCUGGAGUAGGUCCCAAGGGUUGGGCUGUUCGCCCAUUAAAGCGGUACGCGAGCUGGGUUCAGAACGUCGUGAGACAGUUCGGUCCCUAUCCGGCGCGGGCGUAAGAGAUUUGAGAGGAGCUGUCCUUAGUACGAGAGGACCGGGAUGGACGGACCACUGGUGUAUCUGUUGCACCACCAGGUGCACGGCAGAGUAGCCAAGUCCGGACGGGAUAAACGCUGAAGGCAUCUAAGCGUGAAGCCCCCCUCAAGAUGAGAUCUCUCAUUCGAAAGAAGUAAGACCCCUUGAAGACGACGAGGUAGAUAGGGCAGGGGUGGAAGGGCAGCAAUGUCCGUAGCUGACUGUUACUAAUCGGUCGAGGGCUUGACCAA